Molecule: ribosomal RNA, 430 nt
Filed under: Pseudomonadota bacterium
Lineage: Bacteria; Pseudomonadati; Pseudomonadota
Description: Proteobacteria bacterium partial 16S ribosomal RNA
Rfam family: Bacterial small subunit ribosomal RNA
Source: RNAcentral
UGGGGAAUAUUGGACAAUGGGCGAAAGCCUGAUCCAGCCAUGCCGCGUGUGUGAAGAAGGCCUUAUGGUUGUAAAGCACUUUAAGCGAGGAGGAGGGUACUGGUAUUAAUACUACCAGCUACUGGACGUUACUCGCAGAAUAAGCACCGGCUAACUCUGUGCCAGCAGCCGCGGUAAUACAGAGGGUGCGAGCGUUAAUCGGAUUUACUGGGCGUAAAGCGUGCGUAGGCGGCUAAUUGAGUCGGAUGUGAAAUCCCCGAGCUUAACUUGGGAAUUGCAUUCGAUACUGGUUAGCUAGAGUGUGGGAGAGGAUGGUAGAAUUCCAGGUGUAGCGGUGAAAUGCGUAGAGAUCUGGAGGAAUACCGAUGGCGAAGGCGACCACCUGGGCUCAUACUGACACUGAGGUGCGAAAGCGUGGGGAGCAAACAGG